RNAcentral lists this transfer RNA (261 nucleotides) under cyanobacterium GSM_I_36B_cl_11_3. Its description in RNAcentral is "16S-23S ribosomal RNA intergenic spacer". The stretch from base 122 to 195 matches the Rfam family "tRNA". Lineage: Bacteria; Bacillati; Cyanobacteriota. The record is from RNAcentral.
UCAGGGAGACCUACCCCAUCUCAAGACCGAAAGCAAACAGCGAAUCAAGUCGAGAUGAGGUCAACCGAGGUCGAGGGCAGACAAGCACAAGGCUUUUCAACUAUGAUUGGUUUGGCAGGAAGGGCUAUUAGCUCAGGUGGUUAGAGCGCACCCCUGAUAAGGGUGAGGUCCCUGGUUCGAGUCCAGGAUGGCCCACCCAAAGAGCAAAAAACGAGCCAACAGCAGGACUCAGCAACCGGAGGGGGAAGCAACCGGACUGCU